GAAAUGCGAUGAGUAAUGUGAAUUGCAGAAUUCAGUGAAUCAUCGAAUGUUUGAACGCACAUUGCGCCCGCCAGCACUCUGGCGGGCAUGCCUGUUCGAGCGUCACUUCAACCAUCAAGCCCCGGGCUUGUGUUGGGGACCUGCGGCUGCCCGCAGGCCCUGAGAACCAGUGGCGGGCUCGCUGUCACCCCGAGCGUAGUAGUAUCACCUCGUCCAGGGCGUGCUGCGGAUUCCAGCCGUUAAACCUUCUCAAACCCAAAGGUUGACCUCGGAUCAGGUAGGAAUACCCGCUGAACUCAA
Molecule: unclassified non-coding RNA, 300 nt
Filed under: uncultured Sordariomycetes
Lineage: Eukaryota; Fungi; Ascomycota; Sordariomycetes
Description: sequence contains ITS1
Rfam family: 5.8S ribosomal RNA (bases 1-105)
Source: RNAcentral